UGGCAAGAGAGAAAACUUCUGCUCUACCUGUGACAAUCAUAACUACAUAUUGUUCAUAAUAUGGAUAUACCAUUCACUUAAUGUCAGCAAAACUGCUCAGACUACUAAAGGAGCAUAUUUGUGGGCAUGUCUGACUUGUAUGAAGAUGUGCAUAUGUAAAUGUUAGCUCUAAUGAGCAUAAAGGGAAGAAACCUGUGACAGAAAAGGAGGCCUCUGUCAUACCCAUACUCAUUUUCAAUGGAGUAUUUUGGGCUUUGCAUAAGUACAAAUACAAAUGUGAGAUUGAACCUCCUAAUACAAAUGAUCCAGUGUACAGUGUAGCAGCUAAUAACAGCUCAAAUUCUGGAAUCAUCACCUCUAUCUGAAUUCCAUUUCACCCAUUGUGAACUGGAUCAUUGUGGGCAAGUAAGUGUUUAACUACUUAAAAUCAACUUUCUAAUCAGGAAAGUUGUAAUAGUAAUAGUAAAAUCAGCAUGGUUUUGGAAAUAUUAACAUAUUUA
This 500-nucleotide long non-coding RNA is filed under the name Rhinopithecus bieti (black snub-nosed monkey). Its description in RNAcentral is "lncRNA (ENSRBIG00000046482.1)". The record is from RNAcentral. Lineage: Eukaryota; Metazoa; Chordata; Mammalia; Primates; Cercopithecidae.